UCCUGGAACAGCUCGUUCUUCUCCCGUGCCCUACCGUUUGCUGCCAUUUGUGGGCUGAGAUAGGCCCACUUUAUUCCUCAGGCCGCGUCCCUGGGUGGCGUCUGUGACCGAGCAGAGCGACGUGACCCUUCUCAACGAGAACGGCAGACCCAGCAAAGCGGAACAGGAAGCGCUUUCAAUUAACAAGUCUCUCGUGCACAGGCGGAUGGCUAGCCCGAGCUCCUCUGACAGCCUGGGGACCCAAUGUUCCAGAUUGAAGCUGCGCCGUCACCUACCUGGUCCUGAGGUGAGGACGAAGUGGAGCCAAGCUGCUUGCCUCCCUGAGGGACGUGGAGUGAGAGCCAGAAGUAAUCCUUUGCUUAAGUGACUGAGAUUUUCAGAGCUGUUCAUUACGGCAGCAAAACCUAGAACAUCCUGACUGAUGCGAGCUACGUAAUACCCAUUUCCCCACAAUAUAAAUGAGGAAACUCAUGCUCAGAGAGGUUCGGCUAUUUUCCCAAGCUCACACAGCUGGCAAAGGAUAGACCUGGAACUUGAACUGAGAAAGCUGAUGGCAGAAUUUGAGCCAUUAACCACAGCCCCGGGACACAGUGGGGAAGGAGCCAGCCAACACUUAGUUCUAAUCCUGAUUGACAUUUCGGGUCUGAGCAAAGACCUACAACUAACUCAUUGCCCUGAGUCUCUUCCUGCUUCGCUAUUCCUAACGCCCCUGCUUAUUUUAAAGGAGUUUAUUCCAUAUGUUUCUGACCCUCUUUCCUUUAAGCCAUUUUAACUGCAUUGCAGGAAGCUGUCUGAUAUCUAGAGAAACUUCUGGGUCGUGAUUUCUUUUUCUCUCUGUAAGAGAAAACCAGAUGUCGCCUGGAGGGAACGCGGCUGAAGCAGGCUCCCGUGGGUGAGGUGGAUGGGGGACUUCACCCAUGUCUCCAUCCACCGCGGCUUCAGAAAGGACAAGAGAAGAGAAAAGAUUUUCAGAAAAAUCCUAAGAAAGCCAGAGUUACAGUAGAUGACAAAAGAUCUCACCUAUAUCGCGGGGGCAUGGGGAAAGCGUAAAACAGCCUGGAGUUGAACUCUCACUUGUCGAUCCCACGAGGGAUGUGAGACCCUUAUCCCCGACUGUCUUUAAGAAAACAAAUCAGGGAGUGGGGCAGGCUGGCGAGGGGGGAGAGACCAGCGAGCGGUUCUCAGACUGGCUGGUUGCGGGGUGUGGGGGACAGAAUGGGGCCCCUCAAAGGACGCCUCAACAUCCUCACCUCAGAACCUGCGAAUAUGACCCGAUGUGGGAAAAGGGUCUUUGCAGAUGCAGUUAAGUUCAGCAUCUUGAGGUGAGAGCGUGCUGGAUCAUCCAGACGGGCCCUACGCCCAGUGUCAAGUGUUCGUACAAGAGAAGGGCCUGGGAAGGCUUGAGUCAGAGGAGAGAAGCCCGCGUGAAGGGGGAGGCAGGCGCUGGGGUGACGCCGCCACAGCCGAGGACGCCAGCGGCCACCAGAAGCUGGGAGAGUCCCUGCCAGAGCCUCGGAGGUGGUGGGGCCCUCCCGACACCUUGAUUUUGACCCAGUGACACUGAUUUUGGACUUCCGGCCUCCAGGGUGUGACAGAAUACGUUUCUGUUGUUUUAACCAUCCAGCGUGUGGCCAUUUGUCAUGGAAGCCCCAGGAGAGCGAUACAGCCAUUUCACCUUGGCUUCUCUGUCUGUGAAAGAAGGAUGGUGACAUCAUCCCUCUCCUGUAAGAACCGAAUGAGAUAAGAUGUGCUACAGUGUCUUGAGGAAGUCAAGACAACAGAAGAAUGAGAAGCCCUUCUCUCCCUUCUUUCCAGAAACAUCUAUGGAGUCCCUAGCAUAUAACUGCAGUGACACCAAGUGAGAAAGACAUUUGUCAGACCUGCCCUCACGCGCAGUUUAAAUGCAUGCAAAUUAUAUGCAAAUAGGCAACUCCCACAAGUCCGGUUCUUCCACCCGGGCCCGUUGGAAUUCUGGGAGUCCUGGCUUUCACCAGCUGUCUGCGGCAAAUGGGCAGCAGCAUCACACUGACAUACUUUCCAGAACAAUCCUGCCCAUCGCAGCGGCACCCAGGAUUACAUUCACUUGCAGUUCUGCGUUUGUGUUGUCAACUCUACUUGUGACAUGGGAUUCGUGUCGGAAAAGCCGGAAUCAGGUCGUGACAGGAUAAGGGCGUCAACCUCAGUUUUGGGGGGUGGUCUCGCUGACAAAGCUUGGGGCAGGAAGGGUGAUUACGGGAGAGGGAAACAGUGGCAUCGCAAAUAUUUGGAGCAGCUGGCUUGCUGCUCUCUGCUCAGACCAGGAUCGUCCUGCCCAUAAUUGUCUCCUCUCCACUAAAACCCCUCUCAGGCUCCAAACCUUCAGCAGCAAAGGCACGAAAGAAGAGAGGAGGGGGUGCUCCAGUUUUCCCACCUGGUUGGCUUUUCAAGUCUCAGGUGGGCAGAGGUGGCCUGGAUCUGACUAUUGAACGCCCAGCAGAGCCUCUCCCAACCCCACACCUGCCCGUGGCCUUCCACGGAACGAGCACGUAGAAGGAGCCAGCACAGCCCCAGUGGAACAGGUCUUGUGGGAUUAGCACAAAAAUUGCAAGGAAAUCUGACCUCAUGGGGGGAAAAAGCCAACCCUAACAGAAAGGUUCUUUAGGAAAAGAAAAGAAAGACAGAAAAGGACCCAGAAAAUGCACAGGGAUCAAUGCUACCCAUGAAUCAGAGAUUCUUUGCAGUAAAGACCCAAAAGUUCUAGGAAAGAACUAUAACCCUGUCGGGAGCCUUGACUAUGUGCUGGGCACUGUUCUCAGUGCCUUACGCAUCUUUCCUAAGCCAGCCCCAGAGCCCAGAAUUGUCCUCACGGCAAUUAACAGGGACAUGAUCACAGUGGGACAAGGAGCAGACCAGGGUAGAAUUCCCAAAAUAAAGAAAUUCAAAUGAUUUCAGAAAACAGUAAACACAUGGGACCAAAGACGCAGACAAUUAAUAAAACAGAAGAUGAUCCUGAAAGCAUAAACAAAUGUGGAGGAAGAAAUGAACAGAGAUGAGAAGAAUGGGAGAGAACUUGAAAGCUCUUCAGCUUCCCAAGUAGAAAAGACAGGUUUCUUUCAAAGAUGCCCAGUGCUGGGUGUUUCUGGGGCUCUCCUGCUGCAGUGACCAAGACUGGAAGUUAACCUUCAAAAACAUUUUAAAAAGUGUGAUAGUUAAGGAAGUGAUCCGAGUGGAUGUUAUUGAAAUGUGAUUGCGUCAGAAGGAUAUUCUUACCCUGGCAGAAUUUCACAAAAUUUACCACCUAAGCACCAUUUCAUCAGACAUCCACGGAGAAGGAAUUGUCAAGAAGUCCAAGGACUGAAGAAAGAGGAACGGAGUUUUAAAACCUCUUGUUAUGUUGGAAAAGUAUGUAUGAAGACCAGAAUAUUUUACACAAAAUAAAUAACAUAAACUGGGGUGGAGAAGGGUUAAGAUGGUUGAUGGAACAGAUGCAUCUAACUUUGUUCUCUCCCAAAACCUCACUAAAACAAGAAAGCCUUUUUUUUUUUUUUUUUUUUUUUUUUUGGUUUUGGUUUCUUAAAAGCUUAAACCUUCAAGGAGAGGGGGAGGAGAGAAUAGCAACAUUUUGGAAGCUGAGAGGUGGGUCAUGAGUCGUAACUGACUUAUCAGACUUGGGACAGACAAAUCUUAAAACAGCAGUGGGGAAAGCUGAGAACUGAAAAAGAGUUCAUUUCUCAUGGGUGACAUUCAAAUGCAGAUAUUUGCCAUUUAAACAUACUGUUAUAUAACAGAAAACAGAACAUUCACAAAUUAAAAUCGUUCUAGGAAUGUGAGAUUGAAGAAGCCCAAGAGAAAACAAAAUCAAAUGAUCAAGAAGAAAAGCAAAACCAUUAUAACAAUAAAUGUAAAUCGUCCAAAUUCACCCUUUAAAAGGCAUAGGAUCUCAAAGUGGUCAUUUACAAGAGAUACAAAAAGCAAAUAGAUACAGAAGUGCAAAAAAACAGCAAAUGAUUUUCAAUCUAGUUCAUAUAAAGGGAGAGGGAUUCAUAUUUAAUAAUGUUGUUUAUAAAACAAAAUAUCCAUGAAGAUAAAAAUUGGUUAUUAUUAAAAAGUUUUAGUUAGUAAUGAAAUAAAGAUAAGGAUUCAUAAACUAACAACUAAAGAACAAUAGUAUAAAUUGAAUGGAGUAAAAACCAGUAGCAGUACUGGGACAAAUUAAUAAAAGCAGGGUGUAUUAUGGAUCUGCAAGUUCAUGAAUAAAUAGAGGAAAUAAAGUGACUAUAUAGAACUUACAGACUUACCCAAACUCAAUUUAUUCAAUAGAAACAUAUAUAUAUAUACACACACACACACAAAAAUGUUCAAUGCAGCAUUAUUUGUAAAAGUCAAAACUUGGAAGCCAUCCACAAGCCCAACAUGAGGAGAAUGGUUUCAUAAUUCACAGCACAGACACAUCGUGAAAUAUCACAGAGCCACGUAAGGUUGUAUGAAGCCCACAUGGAAGCAGGGGGAAUUAUGUGCUAUGCCAAGUUAAAUGUAUGAAUACAAAAUGUUAUGUGCACUUCUAUUUUAUAACAAGUGGAAGAAAAAGUCAAAAAAUAAAAUUAACAAAAUGUAGCAUGAUCAGA
Equus caballus (horse) is the source of this 4604-nucleotide non-coding RNA. The record is from RefSeq and is a predicted model, not a curated record. NCBI's taxonomy places the organism in Eukaryota, Metazoa, Chordata, Mammalia, Perissodactyla, Equidae.